GCGCCCGGUUCACGGCCUCGCGGCACAGCAGGCACAGCGCCGCGACCCCCGACUCAAAUUCCCGCCACUCAAAUUUCGGACCCCCAGACUCAGAUUGGGGGGGUUUGGGGGGCUUAGAACCGGGUUUGGGACCCCCAGACUCAAAUUCCCGCCCCCGGGGACCCCCAGACUCAAAUUGCGGGGGUUUGGGACCCCCAGACUCAAAUUCCCGGCUCCGGGGGCCCCCAGACUCAAAUUGCGGGGGUUUGGGGGGCUUAGAACCGGGUUUGGGACCCCCAGACUCAAAUUCCCGGCUCCUCGGGACCCCAGACUCAAAUUGGGGGGGUUUGGGACCCCCAGACUCAAAUUCCCGGCUCUUGGGACCCCCAGACUCAAAUUCCCGGCUCCGGGGACCCCCAGACUCAGAUUGGGGGGGUUUGGGACCCCCAGACUCAAAUUUGGGACCCCCAGACUCAGACUGCAGGGGUCUGGGGGGCUUAGAGCUGGGUUUGGGGCCCCCAGACUCAAAUUCCCGCCCCCGGGGACCCCCAGACUCAGAUUGGGGGGGUUUGGGACCCCCAGACUCAAAUUGCGGGGGUUUGGGGGGCUUGGAGCCGGGUUUGGGACCCCCAGACUCAAAUUCCCGCCCCCGGGAGCCCCCAGACUCAAAUUGCAGGGGUUUGGGACCCCCAGACUCAAACUCCCGGCUCCUCGGGACCCCAGACUCAAAUUUGGGGGGUUUGGGACCCCCAGACUCAAAUUCACGACUCCGGGGGCCCCCAGACUCAGAUUUGAGGGGUUUGGGGGGCUUAGAACCGGGUUUGGGACCCCCAGACUCAAAUUCCCGGCUCUUGGGGCCCCCAGACUCAGAUUGCCGGGGUUUGGGACCCCCAGACUCAAAUUUGGGACCCCCAGACUCAAAUUCCCGCCCCCGGGGGCCCCCAGACUCAAAUUUGGGGUGUCGGGAGGGGGGUCUGGGGGUCUUAGAGCCGGGUUUGGGAGGCCUGGACCCAGAUUCGGGGGGUUUGGAACCCCCAGACUCAAAUUCGGGGGGUCUGGGGCGUUUGGAGCCACAUUUGGGACCCCCAGACUCAAAUUUGGAACCCCCAGACUCAAAUUGGGGGGGUCUGGGGUGCCUGGAGCCACAUUUGGGACCCCCAGAGUGAAACUCGAGACCCCCAGACUCAAAUUUGGCACCCCCAGACCCAGAUUUGGGAUUUUCAGACCCAAACUUGGCACCCCCAGACUCAAAUUUGGGGUUUUUGGCUGGUUUGGGACCCCCAGACCCAAAUUUGGGACCCCCAGCCCCAAAUUCGGGACCC
RNAcentral lists this long non-coding RNA (1301 nucleotides) under Cyanistes caeruleus (blue tit). RNAcentral describes it as "lncRNA (ENSCCEG00000002738.1)". The record is from RNAcentral. Lineage: Eukaryota; Metazoa; Chordata; Aves; Passeriformes; Paridae.